AUAAAAAUUCGAGAUACUUCAAAAAUUCUGGGUUGCAGAAACGGAACAACCUACCCCCUGAAAAGAGAGGUUGUUCCAGGCGACCAUCUGACGACAGAACACCCAGAAUUUUCAUGGAGCGCCUGCUCCACUCAGGUAAGUAUCUCGACCCAAAAAAAAAAUGUUUAUUCUUGUUUUCACCUUCUCUCUGAUUUAUUUUCACACCAGGGACGUUGUGAAGUAAGUCUGGGGGAGGGUUUUCGUCGUUUACUAACUCGUUUCUUUCUUUUGUUUUUCUUUUGG
This 282-nucleotide long non-coding RNA is filed under the name Brassica napus (rape). RNAcentral describes it as "long non-coding RNA (BNAP_LNC011513)". The record is from RNAcentral. Lineage: Eukaryota; Viridiplantae; Streptophyta; Magnoliopsida; Brassicales; Brassicaceae.